UCCCCUCUGGUGUAAUGGUCGCACAUUUCGCGUUUUCACCCUCAAGGGACUUCUCCGGGAGUCACCUCCUUAAUGCGAAAAGUUCUCGGUUCGAAUUCGGGGAGUGGAA
Molecule: non-coding RNA, 109 nt
Organism: Fusarium verticillioides 7600
Lineage: Eukaryota; Fungi; Ascomycota; Sordariomycetes; Hypocreales; Nectriaceae
Source: the annotation of a RefSeq genome assembly